GAUGAACGCUGGCGGCGUGCCUAAUACAUGCGAGUCGGGCGAACGGACGAGAAGCUUGCUUCUCUGAUGUUAGCGGCGGACGGGUGAGUAACACGUGGAUAACCUACCUAUAAGACUGGGAUAACUUCGGGAAACCGGAGCUAAUACCGGAUAAUAUUUUGAACCGCAUGGUUCAAAAGUGAAAGACGGUCUUGCUGUCACUUAUAGAUGGAUCCGCGCUGCAUUAGCUAGUUGGUAAGGUAACGGCUUACCAAGGCAACGAUGCAUAGCCGACCUGAGAGGGUGAUCGGCCACACUGGAACUGAGACACGGUCCAGACUCCUACGGGAGGCAGCAGUAGGGAAUCUUCCGCAAUGGGCGAAAGCCUGACGGAGCAACGCCGCGUGAGUGAUGAAGGUCUUCGGAUCUUAAAACUCUGUUAUUAGGGAAGAACAUAUGUGUAAGUAACUGUGCACAUCUUGACGGUACCUAAUCAGAAAGCCACGGCUAACUACGUG
This 497-nucleotide ribosomal RNA is filed under the name uncultured bacterium. RNAcentral's name for it is "partial 16S ribosomal RNA". It matches the Rfam family "Bacterial small subunit ribosomal RNA", at positions 28 to 507 of the family's 1533-position model. The record is from RNAcentral.